This 301-nucleotide unclassified non-coding RNA is filed under the name Moraxella bovoculi. Its description in RNAcentral is "16S-23S ribosomal RNA intergenic spacer". The record is from RNAcentral. Lineage: Bacteria; Pseudomonadati; Pseudomonadota; Gammaproteobacteria; Moraxellales; Moraxellaceae.
UGCACGCAGGAGGUCAGGAGUUCGACUCUCCUUAACUCCACCAUUAUUAAACAUCAAAAGCAUACAUAAGCAAUUUAAAUAAGAUUUCUUAUUUAUGCUUUAACUUUAUAAACUGACGAAGUUUAUAUCACUAUUUAACAACGUAUAUAUGAGUCUGGGUUAAUUAUUUAAUUCCAACAAAUAAUUAACCAUGGUGAUUGUACCCAAUACAAUCACCUAAAGUAAAGAGAACUGAAUCAAGCGUAAACAUAGGUGAAUCGUUACACAUUACCCAUACAUUAAAGACCCUUUGGGGUUGUAU